RNAcentral lists this ribosomal RNA (253 nucleotides) under uncultured bacterium. RNAcentral describes it as "partial 16S ribosomal RNA". It matches the Rfam family "Bacterial small subunit ribosomal RNA", at positions 524 to 776 of the family's 1533-position model. The record is from RNAcentral.
UACGGAGGGGGCUAGCGUUGUUCGGAAUUACUGGGCGUAAAGCGCACGUAGGCGGCUUUGCAAGUUAGAGGUGAAAGCCCAGGGCUCAACCCUGGAAUUGCCUUUAAGACUGCAUCGCUUGAACAUCGGAGAGGUAAGUGGAAUUCCGAGUGUAGAGGUGAAAUUCGUAGAUAUUCGGAAGAACACCAGUGGCGAAGGCGACUUACUGGACGAUUGUUGACGCUGAGGUGCGAAAGCGUGGGGAGCAAACAGG